This 434-nucleotide ribosomal RNA is filed under the name Salmonella enterica subsp. enterica serovar Kentucky. Its description in RNAcentral is "bacterial SSU rRNA". It matches the Rfam family "Bacterial small subunit ribosomal RNA", at positions 102 to 534 of the family's 1533-position model. The record is from RNAcentral. Lineage: Bacteria; Pseudomonadati; Pseudomonadota; Gammaproteobacteria; Enterobacterales; Enterobacteriaceae.
ACGGGUGAGUAAUGUCUGGGAAACUGCCUGAUGGAGGGGGAUAACUACUGGAAACGGUGGCUAAUACCGCAUAACGUCGCAAGACCAAAGAGGGGGACCUUCGGGCCUCUUGCCAUCAGAUGUGCCCAGAUGGGAUUAGCUUGUUGGUGAGGUAACGGCUCACCAAGGCGACGAUCCCUAGCUGGUCUGAGAGGAUGACCAGCCACACUGGAACUGAGACACGGUCCACACUCCUACGGGAGGCAGCAGUGGGGAAUAUUGCACAAUGGGCGCAAGCCUGAUGCAGCCAUGCCGCGUGUAUGAAGAAGGCCUUCGGGUUGUAAAGUACUUUCAGCGGGGAGGAAGGUGUUGUGGUUAAUAACCGCAGCAAUUGACGUUUCCCGAAAGAAGCACCGGCUAACUCCGUGCCAGCAGCCGCGGUAAUACGGAGGGGG